This 164-nucleotide small nuclear RNA is filed under the name Erinaceus europaeus (western European hedgehog). Its description in RNAcentral is "U1 spliceosomal RNA". It matches the Rfam family "U1 spliceosomal RNA". Rfam says of the family: U1 is a small nuclear RNA (snRNA) component of the spliceosome (involved in pre-mRNA splicing). Its 5' end forms complementary base pairs with the 5' splice junction, thus defining the 5' donor site of an intron. Lineage: Eukaryota; Metazoa; Chordata; Mammalia; Eulipotyphla; Erinaceidae. The record is from Rfam by way of RNAcentral.
CUAUGCACCUGCCAGGGGAGAUACUAUGAUCACGAAGGUGGUUUUCCCAGGGCGAGGCUUAUCCAUUGCACUCCAGAUGUGCUGACCCCUGCAAUUUCCCCAAAUGUGGGAAACUCAACUGCAUAAUUUGUGGUAGUGGGGGACUGCAUUCGUGCUCUCCCCUA